RNAcentral lists this ribosomal RNA (549 nucleotides) under uncultured bacterium. RNAcentral's name for it is "partial 16S ribosomal RNA". It matches the Rfam family "Bacterial small subunit ribosomal RNA", at positions 355 to 895 of the family's 1533-position model. The record is from RNAcentral.
UAGGGAAUCUUCCACAAUGGACGCAAGUCUGAUGGAGCAACGCCGCGUGAGUGAAGAAGGUUUUCGGACCGUAAAGCUCUGUUGUUGGUGAAGAAGGAUAGAGGUAGUAACUGGCCUUUAUUUGACGGUAAUCAACCAGAAAGUCACGGCUAACUACGUGCCAGCAGCCGCGGUAAUACGUAGGUGGCAAGCGUUGUCCGGAUUUAUUGGGCGUAAAGCGAGCGCAGGCGGAAGAAUAAGUCUGAUGUGAAAGCCCUCGGCUUAACCGAGGAAUUGCAUCGGAAACUGUUUUCUUGAGUGCAGAAGAGGAGAGUAGAACUCCAUGUGUAGCGGUGGAAUGCGUAGAUAUAUGGAAGAAUACCAGUGGCGAAGGCGGCUCUCUGGUCUGCAACUGACGCUGAGGCUCGAAAGCAUGGGUAGCGAACAGGAUUAGAUACCCUGGUAGUUCAUGCCGUAAACGAUGAGUGCUAAGUGUUGGGAGGCUUCCGCCUCUCAGUGCUGCAGCUAACGCAUUAAGCACUCCGCCUGGGGGAGUACGACCGCAAGGUU